GUUAGGAAUAUUGGACAAUGGGCGCAAGACUGACCCAGCCAUGCCGCGUGCAGGAAGACGGCCCUCUGGGUUGUAAACUGCUUUUAUCUGGGAAGAAAAAGGCCAUGCGUGGCAAAUUGCCGGUACCAGAUGAAUAAGCACCGGCUAACUCCGUGCCAGCAGCCGCGGUAAUACGGAGGGUGCGAGCGUUGUCCGGAUUUAUUGGGUUUAAAGGGUGCGUAGGCGGCUGAUUAAGUCAGCGGUGAAAGACUUCGGCUUAACCGGAGCAGUGCCGUUGAUACUGGUUGGCUUGAGUGUCGGAGGGGUACAUGGAAUUGAUGGUGUAGCGGUGAAAUGCAUAGAUACCAUCAGGAACACCGAUAGCGAAGGCAUUGUACUGGCCGACAACUGACGCUGAUGCACGAAAGUGUGGGGAUCGAACAGGAUUAGAUACCCCGGUAGUCC
Molecule: ribosomal RNA, 444 nt
Filed under: uncultured bacterium
Lineage: Bacteria
Description: partial 16S ribosomal RNA
Rfam family: Bacterial small subunit ribosomal RNA
Source: RNAcentral